Polistes canadensis is the source of this 291-nucleotide long non-coding RNA. RefSeq lists it as uncharacterized. The record is from RefSeq and is a predicted model, not a curated record. The transcript has 3 exons. NCBI's taxonomy places the organism in Eukaryota, Metazoa, Arthropoda, Insecta, Hymenoptera, Vespidae.
ACAGGUGUGUACAUUAUUGGAACAGGUUCUUUGAUGCAUCGAAAUCGAGCGAGAAAACUUUACCGAUAGUUCACUUUAACCCACGAAGAAACGACGAAUUUCGAGCAGUAUCGUUGGACUUAAUUAGCCUAGUAGUAGAGUCGAGCCAAUGAAAAGUUUCUAUUCUUCCUGUUACUGGAUCCUCCGUUAUCUGUGGUUCACUAUUCAAUAAACUCGAUAAGAGCACCUAUAAUAUAAUUACAAGAAAAAAAUGAUAAUAAAUUAAAAAUAUAAAUGAAUCUCGAAUAAGAA